GUACUCCCCAGGCGGGGUACUUAUUGCGUUAACUCCGGCACAGAAGGGGUCGAUACCUCCUACACCUAGUACCCAUCGUUUACGGCCAGGAUUACCGGGGUAUCUAAUCCCGUUCACUCCCCUGGCUUUCGCGCCUCAGCGUCAGACACAGUCCAGAAAGUCGCCUUCGCCACUGGUGUUCCUCCUAAUAUCUACGCAUUUCACCGCUACACUAGGAAUUCCACUUUCCUCUCCUGCACUCAAGAAAUGUAGUUUCCAUCCCAUCACGGGGUUGAGCCCCGAACUUUUAAGACAGACUUACAUUCCCGCCUGCGCGCGCUUUACGCCCAAUAAUUCCGGACAACGCUUGCCACCUACGUAUUACCGCGGCUGCUGGCACGUAGUUAGCCGUGGCUUCCUCCUCAGGUACCGUCAUUACUUAACAUUAUUCACAUUAAGCACAUUCGUCCCUGAAGACAGAGCUUUACGAUCCGAAAACCUUCUUCACUCACGCGGCGUUGCUCCGUCAGACUUUCG
This 516-nucleotide ribosomal RNA is filed under the name uncultured bacterium. RNAcentral's name for it is "partial 16S rRNA". The record is from RNAcentral.